This 468-nucleotide ribosomal RNA is filed under the name uncultured bacterium. RNAcentral describes it as "partial 16S ribosomal RNA". It matches the Rfam family "Bacterial small subunit ribosomal RNA", at positions 28 to 507 of the family's 1533-position model. The record is from RNAcentral.
GACGAACGCUGGCGGCGUGCUUAACACAUGCAAGUCGAACGGAAAGGCCCUGCUUUUGUGGGGUGCUCGAGUGGCGAACGGGUGAGUAACACGUGAGUAACCUGCCCUUGACUUUGGGAUAACUUCAGGAAACUGGGGCUAAUACCUGAUAGGAGCUCCUGCUGCAUGGUGGGGGUUGGAAAGUUUCGGCGGUUGGGGAUGGACUCGCGGCUUAUCAGCUUGUUGGUGGGGUAGUGGCUUACCAAGGCUUUGACGGGUAGCCGGCCUGAGAGGGUGACCGGCGACAUUGGGACUGAGAUACGGCCCAGACUCCUACGGGAGGCAGCAGUGGGGAAUAUUGCACAAUGGGCGGAAGCCUGAUGCAGCAACGCCGCGUGCGGGAUGACGGCCUUCGGGUUGUAAACCGCUUUAGCCUGUGACGAAGCGUGAGUGACGGUAAUGGGUAAAGAAGCACCGGCUAACUACGUG